UGUAAUAUUGUGUUUAAUUAAAAAUAUUAAAUAGGCUGAACUCAAUUUUUAUCAAUUUGUUAUUAGAACUCAAUUUAAAUAAGUUACCAGUACUUUUUAUGCAAAAAUGCUGAUAAACUCGAUUAAUUUGAGUUGUCCUAACUUAGAAAAACUAAGUAAGCUGGAAGUUUUGCUUCUCAGGGCGGAAGGAUGAAAGAUGUGUUUUGAAAAUGCCACGUGACUACCGUUCUCCUCCCUCCCGGAUCAGUCCGCAUGUUCAUGGCGCCAGCAUUUGUUAUGGAAUAUAUUGAGCAAACCUGGAGAUAUUAUUGUUGUCAUUGCUGUGGAUCUUUACUGACUUGGGUCGGGACCAGCACUCCUGCUGUUGGACAGAAAGACAUCAACUUGAGAUAUGACUCCAC
Molecule: long non-coding RNA, 401 nt
Organism: Oreochromis niloticus (Nile tilapia)
Lineage: Eukaryota; Metazoa; Chordata; Actinopteri; Cichliformes; Cichlidae
Exons: 3
Source: RefSeq, a predicted model, not a curated record